UACAGAGGUCUCGAGCGUUGUUCGGAUUCAUUGGGCGUAAAGGGCGCGUAGGCGGCGGGGUAAGUCUGGUGUGAAAUCUCGGAGCUCAACUCCGAAAUUGCACUGGAUACUGCUCUGCUAGAGGGCUGGAGAGGAGAUCGGAAUUCACGGUGUAGCAGUGAAAUGCGUAGAUAUCGUGAGGAAGACCAGUGGCGAAGGCGGCGACCUGGGCCAAUAUUGACGCUGAGGUGCGAAAGCGUGGGGAGCAAACAGG
This 253-nucleotide ribosomal RNA is filed under the name uncultured bacterium. Its description in RNAcentral is "partial 16S ribosomal RNA". It matches the Rfam family "Bacterial small subunit ribosomal RNA", at positions 524 to 776 of the family's 1533-position model. The record is from RNAcentral.